UUAUGGCUCAGGACGAACGCUGGCGGCGUGCUUAACACAUGCAAGUCGAGCGAUGAAGCUCUUCGGAAGUGGAUUAGCGGCGGACGGGUGAGUAACACGUGGGUAACCUGCCUCAUAGAGGGGAAUAGCCUUCCGAAAGGAAGAUUAAUACCGCAUAAGAUUGUAAUAUCGCAUGAUAUAGCAAUUAAAGGAGUAAUCCGCUAUGAGAUGGACCCGCGUCGCAUUAGCUAGUUGGUGAGGUAACGGCUUCACCAAGGCGACGAUGCGUAGCCGACCUGAGAGGGUGAUCGGCCACAUUGGGACUGAGACACGGCCCAGACUCCUACGGGAGGCAGCAGUGGGGAAUAUUGCACAAUGGGGGAAACCCUGAUGCAGCAAACCGCCGCGUGAGUGAUGACGGUCUUCGGAUUGUAAAGCUCUGUCUUCAGGGACGAUAAUGACGGUACCUGAGGAGGAAGCCACGGCUAACUACGUGCCAGCAGCAGC
RNAcentral lists this ribosomal RNA (486 nucleotides) under uncultured bacterium. Its description in RNAcentral is "bacterial SSU rRNA". It matches the Rfam family "Bacterial small subunit ribosomal RNA", at positions 17 to 518 of the family's 1533-position model. The record is from RNAcentral.